AAGGACUUAAGCUAACUCAAACUAAAAGCCUUCAAAGCUUUAAUUGGACAAAAUCCAGCCCUUA
RNAcentral lists this transfer RNA (64 nucleotides) under Sinohyriopsis cumingii. RNAcentral describes it as "Hyriopsis cumingii tRNA-Trp". Lineage: Eukaryota; Metazoa; Mollusca; Bivalvia; Unionida; Unionidae. The record is from RNAcentral.